This 200-nucleotide long non-coding RNA is filed under the name Gossypium raimondii (Peruvian cotton). RNAcentral's name for it is "long non-coding RNA (GRAI_LNC010013)". Lineage: Eukaryota; Viridiplantae; Streptophyta; Magnoliopsida; Malvales; Malvaceae. The record is from RNAcentral.
UUUAGUGCAUUGUAUGAGCUUUUGCUCCAUGCUAGUCACAGUCCCAAGUUCCAAAUUGCCCAUAACGUUUGAUGCAGGAAUUUCGGGUUGCUCUUCUUUUCUUUUUUCUUUUUUUAAACAAGUUGGUCAGCUAUUUGAUGGAUCAGAUAAUCCAUGCAAAAAGCAAUGGCUUUUGUCCGUGAUUCAGACGGUAAGCGUAG